Molecule: non-coding RNA, 76 nt
Organism: Podarcis lilfordi (Lilford's wall lizard)
Lineage: Eukaryota; Metazoa; Chordata; Lepidosauria; Squamata; Lacertidae
Source: the annotation of a GenBank genome assembly
GGAUGGCUCAGUUGCUUAGAGCGUGGUGCUGGUAAUGCCAAGGUGGUAGGUUCUAUCCCCAUAUGGGAUAGCUGCA